RNAcentral lists this long non-coding RNA (277 nucleotides) under Vitis vinifera (wine grape). Its description in RNAcentral is "long non-coding RNA (VVIN_LNC007368)". Lineage: Eukaryota; Viridiplantae; Streptophyta; Magnoliopsida; Vitales; Vitaceae. The record is from RNAcentral.
AAAUAUCUCCACUAGGAGUUUCUUCGGUGGAAACUCCGUAUCUCAGUUCUCUCUCCUUCAUCUACCGGCGACAUGGCCGUAGUUCUCGGAAACAUUGCUCUGUUACUUGACGUUACCUCGCCUCUCACCGGAAUUCCUGACCGGAAGGCUCGAACGGCGAGCCACGAAGUCGUUUUGAACCUAUCCAAGAGAGAUUCUCAUCAUAGCACCAACGCCUACGCAUCUCUCGCCACCAAGAGCUUCGAGUCGGACGGAGAAGCUCGAAACCACAGAGUCG